CUGCUCAAUGAAAAUUUUAAAUAGCUGCAGUAUUUGUGACUGUACAAAGGUAGCAUAAUAAUUUGUUUUUUAAAUGAAAACUAGAAUGAAAGAUUUAAUGAAAUAUAAACUGUUUCAAUUUAAUAAAAUAUUAAAUUUAUUAUUUAAGUAAAAAAACUUAAAUUUUUUUAAAAGACGAUAAGACCCUUUAGAAUUUAAUUAAUUAAUUUAUUAUAAAUAUAAUUUAUUUAAUUAAAUUUAAUAAAUUAUAUUAAUUUUAUUGGGGUAAUUAAAAAAUUAAAGAAAUUUUUUUAAAAUUAAACAAAAAUUUUUGAAUAAAAAAUCUUAAUUAUUUGAAUUAUUAAAAUUAAUUACCUAAGGGAUAACAGCAUAAUUUUUUUAAAAAUUAAAUUUUUAAAAAAGUUUAUGACCUCGAUGUUGAAUUAAGAUAAAAUUUUAAUUUAAAGAUAUUAUUCUGUCACUUCGACU
This 468-nucleotide ribosomal RNA is filed under the name Aleiodes sp. RNAcentral describes it as "partial 16S ribosomal RNA". The record is from RNAcentral. Lineage: Eukaryota; Metazoa; Arthropoda; Insecta; Hymenoptera; Braconidae.